GGGAGACCUAAUUCAGGUAGGAGACGAAAAAAAAGUAGUCGCUACCAAGAAUCAAUCCCAAAAGGUCGGAGCGAGGCGAAAUUGGCUUUCAAACUAGGUUCUGGGUUCAAACAAGACCUGAAUCAGGAACAAGGGCUAUUAGCUCAGGUGGUUAGAGCGCACCCCUGAUAAGGGUGAGGUCCCUGGUUCGAGUCCAGGAUGGCCCACCUGCACAGGUGGCAAAAACAAGAGAAGCGAGGAAUCAGCACCUUAUCUUACUUAUAUAGUAAGAGAGAAUGCUGGCUCUGAGUAAAGAG
RNAcentral lists this transfer RNA (296 nucleotides) under uncultured Microcystis sp. RNAcentral's name for it is "partial 16S-23S ribosomal RNA intergenic spacer". The stretch from base 133 to 206 matches the Rfam family "tRNA". The record is from RNAcentral. Lineage: Bacteria; Bacillati; Cyanobacteriota; Cyanophyceae; Chroococcales; Microcystaceae.